GUAGCUGAUUUCUGUAAAUGAAUGUAAAAUUUAAUGUACAUUACAGCACAUUGUGAAGUCUGUAUAUACAUUAACGACGAAUUUGAGACGAAUAAGUGUAAAUUUAAAACUAUGUACAUGGCGCUCGGCGCCGCAGACAGACGCAAAAUGGCGCCGCCGGUACACACACAUACUGUACCCUGUCUCUUCGUUCCCUAGCUCCCGAGGUCGUGAAUCAGUUUAUCAUGUACACAGGCUCGGGCACUGGUAAGGACUUUAGCUCACUUGACACUGGGUCACUGUUCACUUAUUAUCCUGUGAUGUGGCUGCUUAAGCGUGUUGUGAGCAUCACUCAGCUCUUACUCAUCAACAACCGGCAAAACCAACCGUUGCGUUGCUUUGAGUUAUGUUUACCAGCUGCACCAUGCUUAUAAUAUUAUACAGUUCUCUACUGGCUGAAGUAGUGAGAUUUAAAGAAGCAGGUCAAGUCUUCAAAUUGUUGCUAACCUCUAUAUGUUUUCUCCAGGUCUUUUUAAAUGGACAGCUUUGUCACUGAUAAGUUAACUGAGUGGCGGCUGUUUGAGCUGACAGAGACAUUUUUAAGGCCAUCUGCAGGGUUGAGAAGAAGACUAUCCGGCAUUCAACUGAAGAGUCCUGGACAGCGUUCAUACACCAAAUGUCUGUUGGAACAAAUAUGGUGGAAUACAGUGGCGGCUCGUAACUGCUCAUCCGAAGAUGCGCUAAUUCAAAAUAAGUGUUCAGAUUGUCACGUGUGUGGUUCCCUUCUCCAAAAUAUGUGUCCUGCGUGUCGAGAGAUCCUGUGUGCAUCACGUGUUUUGUCAAAAUAAGUGCCUGCUGCACACGCGUCAAAACUGUUUAUGAUAAAAGAGACGCUCAUGUUCCUAAAAUACACGCCAGACACUUCCUUAACAGUAAACUCUUAUUACGCAUGAGAUUAUGCGAGUAUCUGGCAAACGCGAGCAUCUCUUUUAUCAUAAACCCUUUAGACGCGUCUGCAGCAGGCACUUAUUUUGACAUGACACGUGAUGCACACACGAUCUCUAAAAGCGCAUAACACAUAUUUUGAAAUUACAAACCACACACAUGACAAGCUACAUACAUGUUGUGACGAACUUUGCAUCGAGCGUCCUCGAAUAAAGAAGUCACCGGCUGUCACUGGUGGAAUACCUUCAGCAAUCGCAGCCGUUCCCCUCUGGGAGAUCUUAAGCUGCACACAACCAAUGUUUGAAGACUUAAAGCCUCAAGUUCAAUCCAAUUAUUGAAUGUUGUCAAAUGUUUGAGAGAGAAUGUUUGAGAGUUGUUUAUUUUUCUAUUUUUCCUUUCUAAUGUUAUUACAGUGUGACCUAAAAUAAAUAGGUCCAAGUGUGCGUUUUUAUAUAGAAUUUAAUUGAAUCCAAUAAAAAUUUAAAACUGCU
Paramisgurnus dabryanus is the source of this 1415-nucleotide non-coding RNA. Lineage: Eukaryota; Metazoa; Chordata; Actinopteri; Cypriniformes; Cobitidae. The record is from RefSeq and is a predicted model, not a curated record.